GGGAAGGCUAGGCUGGGAGGUUAGCGCUCUCCUGUCACCUGAAAUACGCUUCAGCAGGGGCCGAAGCUUUGCAAGCGGCAUUGAGCGUUGCUGUUGGUCUUAACCCGUACGGCGAAGCUCUGUCCUUUGGGAUUAUUUUCCUAGUGAACCCUGUCAGGCCAGGAAUGGAGCAGCAGUAAGCUUGGGACAUGAUGCUCAAGGGGUAGCGGAGUGGAGGAAAGGCUAAGGCAGCCAUCAGCGAUGUUGAUUGUCCAUUGCGGGGUCUGCCUUCCC
This 273-nucleotide signal recognition particle RNA is filed under the name Candidatus Woesearchaeota archaeon. RNAcentral's name for it is "signal recognition particle sRNA". It matches the Rfam family "Archaeal signal recognition particle RNA". The record is from RNAcentral. Lineage: Archaea; Nanobdellati; Candidatus Woesearchaeota.